Molecule: long non-coding RNA, 1326 nt
Filed under: Salmo salar (Atlantic salmon)
Lineage: Eukaryota; Metazoa; Chordata; Actinopteri; Salmoniformes; Salmonidae
Description: lncRNA (ENSSSAG00000095530.1)
Source: RNAcentral
GUAAGAGCAUUUACGAUUCUGAGGAUUGUUCUCUGCUCGUUGGUUUCCUCUUUAUAGAUCCUGUAAAGGACACGCUGGAGAUAAAAAAAUACAAAAAAAACCAGCAAAAAACAUUAUGAAAGGCUCUGACAGGAAAGAGGUUUCAUGCUUUAAACGUGCACCGUUUUACUGCUUUACCUUGUCGGUAGUUGAAACGGGAAACUCCUCUGUGGAGAAUCUGGUCGGUUCUGUUGUCAUUAUUUCAAAGUUGAUUAGUGUUCCAUCAACAUUAAACAAUUUCACUAUUGAAUACAUCAUUCAAAAAAAGCACUCGCACAUCUGAGAUAACUUGUUGCAGGUGCUAGUAUCACUUUAAUAAAAAGAAGUGAUAUCAGUGUGCAUUGAAUACAUGAAAUGAUAAGGCGUAUCAUACCUUUGUCCGUUGUGCUGCUUCCCUCAACUACAACAUGAUCUGGAGUCUGAUCUGUCUCUGCUUCACUCUGACUGUUAGCACCGUAGCCAAGGUCGUCUGAAACAUGCAGUAUAUUCUCCCUUUUGUACUGUAAAGGAUCGACCCUAAACUGUAUCUAAUGCUUGAAAAAAUGAUCUAAAGAAAACAUGAAUAAUAACUUGUAUAUCUACUUACAGGGCAGAAGCCUUCGGGACAGCAGGUACUCUUCGUCUGUAUCGCUGCAGGUCACCAACAACUAACUUUAACUUCCUUCAUACUGGACACAAACAUCACCGACAUUUGUAGUCUGUGGAUUGGGUGGGCUAUUUACAGAUGGACUAUGUACAGCUGCAGCGAUCGGUUAGCUGCUCAGAUAGCUGAUGUUUAAAGUUAGUGAGGGAAAUAUAAGUCUCCAGCUUCAGCAAUUUUUGCAAUUCGUUCCAGGCACUGGCAGCAGAGAACUGGAAGGAAAGGCGGCGUUGGCUUUGGGGAUGACCAGUGAGAUAUACCUGCUGGAGCGCGUGCUAGAGGUGGCCGACACACCCUGUUUUAGACACACCAGUCCGCCCACGGGGAAAAAGUCUGAAUGUGCUUCAGGUGUCGCCCAUCUUCCCAAUUAUCCCCUGUGUAUUUAUACCUGUGUUCUCUGUCUGUUUGUUGACAGUUCGUCUUGUUCGUUCAAGUUUACCAGCGUUUUCCCUGUCAGCUCCUAUCAUUUCCCAGCCUCUCUUUUCUUGUCCUCCUGCUUUUUGACCUUUGCCUGCCUUGAUCCUGUACCCGCCCGCCUGACCUCUCUGCCUGCCCCUGACCCUGAGCCUUCCUGCCGUCCUGUACCUUUGCCUUACCCUGGAUUAUCGACCCCUGCCUGCCUUGACCUGUCUUUGCCUGCCCCUGUU